AGCAGUAGCCACGGGAAUACGGAGGGUGCAAGCGUUAAUCGGAAUUACUGGGCGUAAAGCGCACGCAGGCGGUCUGACAAGUCAGAUGUGAAAUCCCCGGGCUUAACCUGGGAACUGCAUUUGAAACUGUCAGGCUGGAGUCUUGUAGAGGGGGGUGGAAUUCCAGGUGUAGCGGUGAAAUGCGUAGAGAUCUGGAGGAAUACCGGUGGCGAAGGCGGCCCCCUGGACAAAGACUGACGCUCAGGUGCGAAAGCGUGGGGAGCAAACAGGAUUAGAUACCCGUGUAGUCCCUGUCUCUUAUAA
RNAcentral lists this ribosomal RNA (303 nucleotides) under uncultured bacterium. RNAcentral describes it as "partial 16S ribosomal RNA". It matches the Rfam family "Bacterial small subunit ribosomal RNA", at positions 507 to 809 of the family's 1533-position model. The record is from RNAcentral.